AUGGAUCUUGGUGAAACCGUAGAAAUUUUUUUAAUUUUCUGCAACGUUCUCCAACAAGGGAACCGCCGGACAGUUUGUGAGGUUUUGGCCCUCUCAAAAGUCAACAACCCCAAGCUAGUUUUCCUUUGUGAAACUAGGCAAGUAUCAGUUAAACUGGAGAAGUUGCGUUGGAGACUCGAUCUGAAAGGAUUUCAUGGCGUGGAUAGUGAUGGUAUAAGUGGUGGCUUGGCUCUUUUCUGGGAUGAGUCUUUG
This 252-nucleotide ribosomal RNA is filed under the name Triticum aestivum (bread wheat). RNAcentral's name for it is "partial small subunit ribosomal RNA". The record is from RNAcentral. Lineage: Eukaryota; Viridiplantae; Streptophyta; Magnoliopsida; Poales; Poaceae.